GUUUUAAAAUGUUAAAGCAAUUAUUUUAAUAGAAGGUUAAUCCAAGGUGAACGUACCUAUGAAACGCGCUUUCUGUGUACCUCGAUGAUUAUUUUUGCUCUGUUAACGUUCCGUAAUAUAUCAAAUUAUAGUAUAUUAUAUCGCACGUAAACAUACGAUAAGAUUUGUAAUAACCUGUUUUCGCCUUGGUUGCGUCAAGCAGAACGGAACAAGGCAGUUUAAAAGAUAUUUUUACGUAAAUAACUAGUUUGACUUUACCGACCGAACUAUCGACCCGCAUCGUACUCUGCUAAAAGGGUUUUUUCUUGUAUGCACUAUAUUUCUAUCUUAAGAAGACCCAGUGUAUAAAAUUCAUUUUACCCAGCAGAUUACACUUGACUGCUUCAUUUAUUUGCUGAUUGUUUCGAAGGCUGGACUCUCGUUUUUAUUUAUCAGUUUGUGUACCCUUGCGGUAUCAGAAUUCAUGUUCAAAGAAUUAUUACUAUAAUGUUUACGUUAAGUAUUUCUCUUUGGGUAACGCUUGUGUUUAUACAAGUCCAGAUUGCGGUGCUGAUUUCACAACAUCCAAAAUUGUUAGUGGUCUCCUAUGAUGGUUUCAGGUAUGAUUAUUUGAUUCGCAAUUUGACUCCUUUUAUGGAUGGCUUAAAGACUAAUGGUACAUAUGCUGAUUACAUGAAGAACAUUUUCAUUACAAAGACGUUUCCCAACCAUCAUUCUAUUAUGACAGGGCUGUACGCCGAAACACAUGGUGUUGUUGAUAACAGUGUACUUGACCCUGAUUCGGGCGAAAUGAUUAAGUAUUCAUAUAAAAUGUUUCAUUACAAUGAAAAAAUAUCUCCAAUUUGGACAAUUAAUGAAAUGGCAAAUAAUGGAAGACGUAGUGGGUUAAUGAUGUGGCCUGGGGGUCACUUCAAGUAUCAGAAUAUCUUUCCCACUUAUGCACAGGACCUUAACAUUUCUGUCUCCUGGGAGCAGAGAAUCGACGUUCUAAUAUCCUGGUUCACAGAUCCAAUUUCUCCGAUAAAUUUUGGAGUAUUAUAUAUAGAAGAACCAGAUUUACUUGGUCAUGCCGUGGGUAUACAUGGAGAUCUCUUCGAUAAAAUGCUUAUUAAACUUGAUCGUAUUACGGAAUAUUUACAUGAUCAACUAGGUCGUCAUGGUCUUACCGACGUUAAUGUUAUUCAUCUGAGUGACCAUGGAAUGGAAAGUGUUACUUUAGAUAGAAUCAUAAAUAUAACAAAUUAUAUAAAUGAUUCUGAUUAUAAAAUAAUCGAAUCUCCAACAACGGUACAUAUAUACCCCAAGAAUGGAAAAGAGGAUCUAAUUUAUCAAAAACUAGCAGUAGUAAGUAAUAAAACGAGGCAUUUCAAUGUUUAUAAAAGGGCUAAUAUACCGCACGAGUAUCAUUAUGGUAAUAACUUGAGAGUGGGCCCUAUCUUUGUCGUGGCUAAUUUGGGUUAUGCAUUUUCAUCUCUUUACAAUUUUAUUCCGGACUAUGAAAAAGCAUACAAUUUCACAGUUAAUAACAAGAGUGAAUUUGGAUUACAUGGUUACGACAAUAAAAUUAAGGAGAUGCAUCCGAUAUUUUUUGCAAGUGGUCCUGCAUUUCAAUCAAAAUGCAAAUUGGAACCUUUCGAUAGCGUAGAUUUACUUCCUUUAUUUUGUGAAGUACUUAAUCUGUCGUGCCCUUCUGUGAAUGGUACGUUGCAACACUUUCGUAAGUGUUUAAAACAGUCGGCAGACAUUAAAUCUUCAACUGUAAUUAUAUUGGCAAUUGUCAUCUGUGCCUUAUUAAUUUUGGGUGGACUCGGAGGUGUACUUGUUCCACAUUAUAUUAGCAAGAUGAAAGGACAUCAAAGGUCGGUUUAUGAAAAUGAUUGGAACGUGUGAUAUGCUGUUGCUUGAUGUGUUGUUGCAUUUUUUAUGCAUUUAUAAGAUUUCCAUAUUAGAGGAUUUCCUUCACUAAGAGACAAUCAAUAAGUGAUCCUGACAUGGAGCGACUUUUAGAGGAAAGUGCUUCCUCGGACUAUGUUUGGCGU
RNAcentral lists this unclassified non-coding RNA (2039 nucleotides) under Orussus abietinus. RNAcentral's name for it is "ectonucleotide pyrophosphatase/phosphodiesterase family member 5, transcript variant X2". The record is from RNAcentral. Lineage: Eukaryota; Metazoa; Arthropoda; Insecta; Hymenoptera; Orussidae.